This 301-nucleotide ribosomal RNA is filed under the name uncultured bacterium. Its description in RNAcentral is "partial 16S ribosomal RNA". It matches the Rfam family "Bacterial small subunit ribosomal RNA", at positions 509 to 807 of the family's 1533-position model. The record is from RNAcentral.
CAGCAGCCACGGUAAUACGGAGGGAGCUAGCGUUGUUCGGAAUUACUGGGCGUAAAGCGCGCGUAGGCGGUUACUCAAGUCAGAGGUGAAAGCCCGGGGCUCAACCCCGGAACUGCCUUUGAAACUAGGUGACUAGAAUCUUAGAGAGGUCAGUGGAAUUCCGAGUGUAGAGGUGAAAUUCGUAGAUAUUCGGAAGAACGCCAGUGGCGAAGGCGACUGACUGGACAAGUAUUGACGCUGAGGUGCGAAAGCGUGGGGAGCAAACAGGAUUAGAUACCCCGGUAGUCCCUGUCUCUUAUAC